This 282-nucleotide long non-coding RNA is filed under the name Solanum tuberosum (potato). RNAcentral's name for it is "long non-coding RNA (STUB_LNC009395)". The record is from RNAcentral. Lineage: Eukaryota; Viridiplantae; Streptophyta; Magnoliopsida; Solanales; Solanaceae.
UAGUAACAACAAAAACAACAAAGUGAGGUAAUAUUACAAUGAUCACAACACAUAAACUAGUCCUUUGCUAACAACAAAGUGAGGUAAUAUUACAAUGAUCACAACACAUAAACUAGUCCUUUGCUAACAACAAAGUGAGGUAAUAAUACAAUGAUCACAACACAUAAACUAGUUCCUUUGCUUCCCCUUUCUUAGGGUUAAACAAAAUAUUCUUCAAGAAUCAUUAAUUGUCACAACUCUAGGCACUUCAACUGGAAAUUCAUCAAUUUCAUCCAUCCAAGG